AUGAGGACUACUGGGAUACAAAGACAGCAGCCGCUUAUGGCCACCAGUUGGGAGCUUGGAUUCACUGCAGUAACCUGUCAAGAAUUUCACCCAACUGCCAGGGCCAAACCCUGCAGUCUGAAGCUCCUACUGACUUCGGUGGCUGCUUUGCCCAAGGGAAAGGUGGCAAAGCUUGGUUCAGCAGCAAGUGCAGCAAACCCCAGAGCUCCACAGCAGUUUGCCCUGGUGAAGCUGCUUUUGCGGGAGGUGCUUUUGUUUUUCCCUGCAAAAGUGAAACGCAGCUCACUGUUGGCUUGGAAGCUCGUGUCCUUGAUGGGUGACCCAGCAGAACUGCCGUGCUCGUCCUUCAUCCCAGGGAAAAGCCUGCAAUGUCCAACAAAACAUCCUUGGAGAGGGAGCUGA
This 402-nucleotide long non-coding RNA is filed under the name Anser brachyrhynchus (Pink-footed goose). RNAcentral describes it as "lncRNA (ENSABRG00000010094.1)". The record is from RNAcentral. Lineage: Eukaryota; Metazoa; Chordata; Aves; Anseriformes; Anatidae.